This 214-nucleotide ribosomal RNA is filed under the name uncultured bacterium. Its description in RNAcentral is "partial 16S ribosomal RNA". It matches the Rfam family "Bacterial small subunit ribosomal RNA", at positions 335 to 539 of the family's 1533-position model. The record is from RNAcentral.
ACUCCUACGGGAGGCAGCAGUGGGGAAUAUUGGACAAUGGGGGAACCUAGCAUCCAGCCAUGCCGCGCUGUGUAGAAGAAGGCCUUCGGGUUGUAAAGCACUUUCAGUGGGGAGGAAAGGUUGAUGGUUAAUACCUAUCAGCUGUGACGUUACCCACAGAAGAAGCACCGGCUAACUCCGUGCCAGCAGCCGCGGUAAUACGGAGGGUGCGAGC